GUAUUUUAGAGUUGAAAGGAUGCAGAAUCAACAUCGAGUCGAGCGGCAUUAAAGUAUCUCGUGGAGCUCUCAUUUUGUUAAAAGGUAAAAGAACCGAUAGUCUUUAUAUUUUGGAAGGUUCUACAGUGAUCGGUGAAAUCAGACGUCCCUCGUCUGUUACGGAAUCGAAGUCAACUCGUUUGGAGCGAAGGCAACUUGGUCAUAGGAGGGAAAAAGGUAUGACCAUUUUGUUGAAGAGAGGUUCUCUUUUGGAUGCAGGUUUUGAAAAGUUAGGGCACUGUGUUCGUGAAAAUCAGACCCGGGUUAAUUUUGAUUUGGCAGUGUACAAGUCGAAGGCUAGAAGUCUUCCAGUUUCUAAGCACAAAUUCGACUCAGUUAAUUCC
RNAcentral lists this long non-coding RNA (383 nucleotides) under Gossypium barbadense (sea-island cotton). RNAcentral describes it as "long non-coding RNA (GBAR_LNC000234)". Lineage: Eukaryota; Viridiplantae; Streptophyta; Magnoliopsida; Malvales; Malvaceae. The record is from RNAcentral.